Triticum aestivum (bread wheat) is the source of this 135-nucleotide non-coding RNA. The record is from Rfam. NCBI's taxonomy places the organism in Eukaryota, Viridiplantae, Streptophyta, Magnoliopsida, Poales, Poaceae.
AUCCUACUCCCUCCGACCGGAAAUACUUGUCAUCAAAAUGAAUAAAAGGGGAUGUAUCUAGAUGUAUUUUAGUUCUAGAUACAUCCCUUUUUGUCUAAUUUGAUGACAAGUUUUUUCGGACGGAAGGAGUAUUUC